This 460-nucleotide ribosomal RNA is filed under the name uncultured bacterium. RNAcentral describes it as "partial 16S ribosomal RNA". It matches the Rfam family "Bacterial small subunit ribosomal RNA", at positions 338 to 795 of the family's 1533-position model. The record is from RNAcentral.
CCUACGGGAGGCAGCAGUGAGGAAUAUUGGUCAAUGGGCGCGAGCCUGAACCAGCCAAGUAGCGUGAAGGAUGACUGCCCUUCGGGUUGUAAACUUCUUUUAUAAAGGAAUAAAGUGAGGCACGUGUGCCUCUUUGUAUGUACUUUAUGAAUAAGGAUCGGCCAACUCCGUUCCAGCAGCCGUGGUAAUACGGAGGAUCCGUGCGUUAUCCGGAUUUAUUGGGUUUACAGGGAGCGUAGGUGGGUUGUUAAGUCAUUUGUGAAAGUUUGCGGCUCAACCGUAAAAUUGCAAUUGAUACUGGCAGUCUUGAGUACAGUUGAGGUAAGCGGAAUUCGUGGUGUAGCGGUGAAAUGCUUAGAUAUCACGAAGAACUCCGAUUGCGAAGGCAGCUUACUAAACUGCCACUGACAUUGAUGCUCGAAAGUGUGGGUAUCAAACAGGAUUAGAUACCCUAGUAGUC